This is a long non-coding RNA of Capsicum annuum, 949 nucleotides long. RefSeq lists it as uncharacterized. The record is from RefSeq and is a predicted model, not a curated record. Lineage: Eukaryota; Viridiplantae; Streptophyta; Magnoliopsida; Solanales; Solanaceae. The transcript has 2 exons.
UCAAUUCAAUUUCUUAAUCUGUUUGGUUCUUAGUUAUUUUUUGUAUUCAAUUAAUGUCAAUUCUAACCUAAUUUUUUAUCAAUUUUUUCAUUCCCUUCUCAAUUUUAAUCACAACCAUUGAUCUCAUGUGAUCGAUGACUGAGAUUAAAUCUUAUUGUUCAUACAUAUAACACCCUACAUAUAACACCCUAAUACCUAAAACCCUAAAUCAUUUUCCUGUUUUUGCAAAAAUAAAACCCUAAAUCAUUUUCCUGUUUUUGCAAAAAUGAGCCGCACCUUUUCUCUCCCUUCUCUCUUCUCUCUCUAAGUUCAACCACAGGCGAACACCACGCUCCGGUGAGCCGCGUCGCCGGCAAGUCUGUCGCCCCUCCUUUCUUCCUUUCUCCGUUCCCUCCAUUGCACCACCAGCCGUCGCUGCACAACAGCCAUGUAGCCGGUGAGCAAACCAGUGUCGUCUGCGCUGUCGCCUCUCAUCAUCUCCUCUAUCCGCUACCAGCACCGGUAGCCAGCCCAAUGAUCAGCCGGCGAGCAAUGCAUUCAGUUUAGCCCAACGAUCCUUUUUGGGUGCUAUUGAGAAGGACCAUUAAAAGAUUGACACUCAAGCGGCGGAGGCGGAACCAGGAUUUCAACUGAGGGGGUUCAAUAUUCAAAGAAUAGUAUAUUUUUCUGUCGAACGAGGUUGGCCGAACCCCUUGAAGGAGGCUAGCUCCGCCUCUGUCAAGCGCAAAGCUUCACGAGUAGAACUUAAAUAAGCUUUAAAGUUUAAAUUGGUUGUCCAGAGAUAAUAUUAAAUGUGCACCUGUAUUUUAAUUUAGCAAUUCAGUCAAAAUAUCUUUCUAUUUGUUAUGGCUUCUUUUAUGAUCCAUAAUAAUUAUACACUGACUUGAACAGGACUAAAGAAAACACUGAAAUCACCAUUCUAUAUAUUAUUUUGUGCAACUUUUGAUUC